CUACGGGUCGCUCCAGUCGAGAAUCUUCCGCAAUGGACGAAAGUCUGACGGAGCGACGCCGCGUGCGGGAUGAAGGCCUUCGGGUUGUAAACCGCUGCCAGUGGGGAGGAAAUGCAUCAGGGUUCUCCCUGGUGUUUGACCGAUCCGCAGAGGAAGCGCAGGCUAAGUUCGUGCCAGCAGCCGCGGUAACACGAACUGCGCGAACGUUAUUCGGAAUCACUGGGCUUAAAGAGUUCGUAGGCGGCCUUUCAAGUCGGGUGUGAAAUCCCUCGGCUCAACCGAGGAAUUGCGCCUGAUACUGUUGGGCUUGAGGGGGAUAGGGGUGAGCGGAACUGAUGGUGGAGCGGUGAAAUGCGUUGAUAUCAUCAGGAACACCGGUGGCGAAGGCGGCUCACUGGAUCUCUUCUGACGCUGAGGAACGAAAGCUAGGGGAGCGAACGGGAUUAGAUACCCGCGUAGUC
Molecule: ribosomal RNA, 461 nt
Filed under: uncultured bacterium
Lineage: Bacteria
Description: partial 16S ribosomal RNA
Rfam family: Bacterial small subunit ribosomal RNA
Source: RNAcentral